RNAcentral lists this ribosomal RNA (253 nucleotides) under uncultured bacterium. RNAcentral's name for it is "partial 16S ribosomal RNA". It matches the Rfam family "Bacterial small subunit ribosomal RNA", at positions 524 to 776 of the family's 1533-position model. The record is from RNAcentral.
UACAGAGGUCUCAAGCGUUGUUCGGAAUUACUGGGCGUAAAGCGCGUGUAGGCUGCUUCGCAAGUCGGAUGUGAAAGCCCUGGGCUCAACCCAGGAAGUGCAUUCGAAACUGCAGAGCUGGAGUCCUGGAGAGGAAGGCGGAAUUCUCGGUGUAGAGGUGAAAUUCGUAGAUAUCGAGAGGAACACCGGUGGCGAAGGCGGCCUUCUGGACAGUGACUGACGCUGAGACGCGAAAGCGUGGGGAGCAAACAGG